CAGGACAUGGCUCAGUGGUAGAGUACAGGGCUUGCCUCUCUGAGGCCUCAGGUUUGCUCCCUGAUGCCAUAU
This 72-nucleotide transfer RNA is filed under the name Erinaceus europaeus (western European hedgehog). It matches the Rfam family "tRNA". Rfam says of the family: Transfer RNA (tRNA) molecules are approximately 80 nucleotides in length. Their secondary structure includes four short double-helical elements and three loops (D, anti-codon, and T loops). The record is from Rfam by way of RNAcentral. Lineage: Eukaryota; Metazoa; Chordata; Mammalia; Eulipotyphla; Erinaceidae.